RNAcentral lists this transfer RNA (73 nucleotides) under Mesocricetus auratus (golden hamster). It matches the Rfam family "tRNA". Rfam says of the family: Transfer RNA (tRNA) molecules are approximately 80 nucleotides in length. Their secondary structure includes four short double-helical elements and three loops (D, anti-codon, and T loops). The record is from Rfam by way of RNAcentral. Lineage: Eukaryota; Metazoa; Chordata; Mammalia; Rodentia; Cricetidae.
GGAGAUGUAGCUCAGCUGGGAGAGUGAUUGUCUGAUACACAUGAAGGACUGGGUUCAAUCCCCAAUAAAUCCA